RNAcentral lists this ribosomal RNA (626 nucleotides) under uncultured fungus. RNAcentral describes it as "LSU rRNA". It matches the Rfam family "Eukaryotic large subunit ribosomal RNA", at positions 23 to 664 of the family's 3401-position model. The record is from RNAcentral. Lineage: Eukaryota; Fungi.
ACCCGCUGAACUUAAGCAUAUCAAUAAGCGGAGGAAAAGAAACCAACAGGGAUUGCCCUAGUAACGGCGAGUGAAGCGGCAAGAGCUCAAAUUUGAAAUCUGGCCCUUUCAGGGUCCGAGUUGUAAUUUGUAGAGGGCGCUUUGGCGUCGGCUACGGCCUAAGUUCCUUGGAACAGGACGUCACAGAGGGUGAGAACCCCGUACGUGGCCGCUAGCCUUCGCCGUGUAAAGCCCCUUCGACGAGUCGAGUUGUUUGGGAAUGCAGCUCUAAAUGGGAGGUAAAUUUCUUCUAAAGCUAAAUACUGGCCAGAGACCGAUAGCGCACAAGUAGAGUGAUCGAAAGAUGAAAAGCACUUUGGAAAGAGAGUCAAAAAGCACGUGAAAUUGUUGAAAGGGAAGCGCUUGCAGCCAGACUUGCCUGUAGUUGCUCAUCCGAGCUCCCGCUCGGUGCACUCUUCUGCGGGCAGGCCAGCAUCAGUCCGGGCGGUCGGAUAAAGGCCCUGGGAAUGUAGCUCCCCUCGGGGAGUGUUAUAGCCCGGGGCGCCAUGCGACCAGCCUGGACUGAGGUCCGCGCAUCUGCUAGGAUGCUGGCGUAAUGGCUGUAAGCGGCCCGUCUUGAAACACGG